Molecule: ribosomal RNA, 425 nt
Filed under: uncultured rumen bacterium
Lineage: Bacteria
Description: bacterial SSU rRNA
Rfam family: Bacterial small subunit ribosomal RNA
Source: RNAcentral
GUGAGGAAUAUUGGUCAAUGGUCGGAAGACUGAACCAGCCAAGUAGCGUGCAGGAUGACGGCCCUAUGGGUUGUAAACUGCUUUUGUGCGGGAAUAACGUUGUGCUCGUGAGCGCAAGUGCAUGUACCGUACGAAUAAGGAUCGGCUAACUCCGUGCCAGCAGCCGCGGUAAUACGGAGGAUCCGAGCGUUAUCCGGAUUUAUUGGGUUUAAAGGGAGCGUAGGCGGAGGAUCAAGUCAGCUGUGAAAUGUAGGCGCUUAACGUCUGCACUGCAGUUGAAACUGGUUCCCUUGAGUGCGUAAGGGGCAGGCGGAAUUCGUCGUGUAGCGGUGAAAUGCUUAGAUAUGACGAAGAACUCCGAUCGCGAAGGCAGCUUGCCGGGCCGCAACUGACGCUGAAGCUCGAAGGUGCGGGUAUCGAACAGG